GAGCACGUAGGUGGGUUUGUAAGUCAGAUGUGAAAGCCUUCUGUUCAAAGGAAGAACGGCAUCUGAAACUGCAGAUCUUGAGUGUAGGAGGGGAGAGUGGAACUUCUGGUGGAGCGGUGAAAUGCGUAGAUAUCAGAAGGAACGUCGGCGGCGAAAGCGACUCUCUGGCCUAUUACUGACACUGAGUGUGCGGAAGUUAGGGGAGCAAACGGGAUUAGAUACCCCGGUAGUCCUAACUGUAAACGAUGGGCACUAAGUAGAGGG
This 264-nucleotide ribosomal RNA is filed under the name uncultured Planctomycetota bacterium. RNAcentral's name for it is "uncultured planctomycete partial 16S ribosomal RNA". It matches the Rfam family "Bacterial small subunit ribosomal RNA", at positions 565 to 827 of the family's 1533-position model. Lineage: Bacteria; Pseudomonadati; Planctomycetota. The record is from RNAcentral.